GUAGGCUAAUUUGAGCAUAAAAACAAGAAAGUCCCACCCCUAUCCUACCCAGCCAUGGUGCAGAGUGGAUGCUUAAGUCCUGUCCAGUUCCAGGGGUAGUGUAGACUUUUUCAGUCUGACUUUACAGCACAUUCUAAUCAUACACUCAUUUUACAUUUUCUAUGCUCACUGUCAGCCUUUAAGAGGACAAAUAUUUCAUUCCUCCUAUGAGGAUGAGCUCCAUUCUACUGGUUUAUACCGGUGUAUCUGGGGUAACGCUCCUUCUUAGAUAAAAUUAUUAACCUGACAUCUGGCUAAUCUGUGGAUUUAGUGUAAUUUCAAUUCCACUCCUGAGAUGUAAAAGGCAUUUUGCUUACUAAAUAUGUGUUAUUUCAACACAUCAAGCAUUCUUUCCAUUAGGAUCCAGCAUGUGAUUUUCUUUCAAUUAGUAAUUGACAGGUCAGAUUCAGUUUUUCUGAACAGAGGAAGGAUCGUGAUAUGAACUGACUGACAGUGGAGCAUGCUGGGACUUGCAAAGUCAUCCCCCAUGUGACCUAGGCCCUCUGUUUCAGAGUUCCUCCUGUGGUAGCUUCAUAUGCCCUUCCACUAUCCCCACGUCCCACCCACAUCUAUUUGUUUGAGUAGUGUCAUGUGCAGCCAACAUCCCCAGUCCCUUUUAAUAAAGUAGAUCUAAGGAUGAUUAUUAGAUUUGCAGUUGUUGGUUGCCCAAAAGUCAACUUAGAGAUGAAGUGCAGGUUUCAGGCCAUAAUAAAAAAGUUUUAUCUCAGGACAAGGUCAUGGCAGCAGCAGAAACCUGAAAACUCUGAACUUCAGGAACCUGAAGUUCAGGAAGAUAGGCAUUUUCAUACAGGGCUCUGCCUCUGACCAUAUUUGUGCUCAACCUGAUUCAGCUCUUGUGUUCUCCAGGCUCCUGGCUUCUCCUCCUCUGCAGAGGGCCUGCCCUCAGGGUCCACUGGGGGGCGCUAGAGAAUUGAGCAGAAACAAAGAGGCUGGGGCUCCUCCCAGCACCACCCCUUCUGGUAAACAGCUGGGUGGUCUUCUCAGGCAGCUCCUCAGUUCCUUCUCCUUGUCUCUGACUCAGUCAGGAGGAUCAGGGGGAUCUAAGUCAGUGCUGGAGGUAUCACUUCCAGUUUGAGCAGGAUUUGAGUGUUGGAAGGCCUUUCUUCUCCUCUUAUCAUCUGGUCCUUUUCCUUGUAAGCCCCAGGGAAGAAGACAUGCUGUGGGCUCUAGCCCUACUUCUAGCCAUCCUGCCUCCUGGUAAGUAUGUGGCACAGAUGUAAUGGGAUGUUGCUUUCCCCAAAAGAGCCACAACAAGGAAUUCCAUUCCCUCUUUGCCAUUAAUUUAUAUUCUUGUUACCAUUCUAGGUAGCCAAACAUCCAGGUUGGAAGGGAGAAUGAUGUCAGUCACAAGUUCACCUGGGUCAUAUGUGCCAAUCACUUGUGAUUUACGUGAAGCAAGUACCUGCAUCCACUGGUACCAAUUCAAGGAGGGGAAGGCCCCACGAUACCUUCUGUACUAUAAUCUUCUCAAUUUCAGUGUUGUGGUAGACUCAGGAAUCAUUUCAGAAAAAUAUGAUGCUAAUAAAGGCCCAGAUAGGAGAUGUAAAUUAGUAGUAUGAAAUGUGGACGAAAGUGACUCUGCUGUGUAUUACUGUGCCUACUGGACUCGCACAGUGGUUCAGACCUGCCUUUAUCUGUACUCAAAAUGUUGCUUUGACUGCUCCUAGUACACAGAUAGAGAUCAGCCCCUUCCUAUUUCCUGCACCUGACCUCACUGUAAUCUGAACAAAGGGAAACCAUGAACCCAAAGCUUAACUAUUGCCCUGUAUCUAUAACACUCCCACUAGCACUUAUAUCCUGCUCCCAUUUGCACCCCAAGACCAAACUCCCAUUCUGCUAUCUCUCAUCCUUGGUCAAGCAUCCUGGCUGACAGCAUCAUUUUCUCAGCUCUCCUAGAGCCUGGUGGAGGCUCAUUCAAUCUGCUGACUAGGAACACAAGGUCACUUAGAGUUGAUCAGUUAGAGGUGACAUGUAGGAGAACAUUAUGGAAGGCACAUUGCAUUGUAUCAUUUAUCCAAUCAUGACCAACAUAUAAUAUCUGGGUAUGACUCUAAUUCAUAACUUAAGAUUAAGAGAAAUGAUAGAAUGAAAUAUUUGGGCUUCAUGAAGACCUCAUGCAGACUGUCAUAAUUAUUGUUUUGAACAAAUUAAUAUUUCCUCCACCAUAACCAACCAUGGUACUGCUUGUAUGAGCGAGAACAUAGGAAAAGAUGAUUGUUGUAAAUAUGCUACCUUUUGUAUCUAAUUACACACGUCAGAGAA
This 2322-nucleotide long non-coding RNA is filed under the name Marmota monax (woodchuck). The record is from RNAcentral. Lineage: Eukaryota; Metazoa; Chordata; Mammalia; Rodentia; Sciuridae.